ACAAGGUCUCCGUUGGUGAACCAGCGGAGGGAUCAUUGCUGGAACGCGCCUCGGCGCACCCAGAAACCCUUUGUGAACUUAUACCUUAUUGUUGCCUCGGCGAAGGCCGGCCUCUCUUCUGAGGCCCCCCGGAGACGGGGAGCAGCCCGCCGGCGGCCAACCAAACUCUUGUUUCUUAGUGAAUCUCUGAGUAAAAAACAUAAAUGAAUCAAAACUUUCAACAACGGAUCUCUUGGUUCUGGCAUCGAUGAAGAACGCAGCGAAAUGCGAUAAGUAAUGUGAAUUGCAGAAUUCAGUGAAUCAUCGAAUCUUUGAACGCACAUUGCGCCCUCUGGUAUUCCGGAGGGCAUGCCUGUUCGAGCGUCAUUUCAACCCUCAAGCCUGGCUUGGUGUUGGGGCACUGCUUUGUCUCCAAAGCAGGCCCUGAAAUCUAGUGGCGAGCUCGCUAGGACCCCGAGCGUAGUAGUUAUAUCUCGUUCUGGAAGGCCCUGGCGGUGCCCUGCCGUUAAACCCCCAACUUC
This 521-nucleotide ribosomal RNA is filed under the name fungal endophyte. RNAcentral's name for it is "eukaryotic LSU rRNA". The stretch from base 213 to 366 matches the Rfam family "5.8S ribosomal RNA". Lineage: Eukaryota; Fungi. The record is from RNAcentral.